AAUUUGACAAAGAAACUUCAUGCGGCUGGGAUUGUAAAGGGUCAUUCCAUCCUACUUGUGUGGCUGAGGGACAUCGCCAACCAAUUUUGGUAUAUUUGUCAGAAAGCCGAACAUCGUGAGAUGUUUAAUGAUAUGUGGGUGGAGGUGCUUCAUCAUGUCACAGGGAAGCAUGAAUGGACCCGUGGCAAGUGUGACUAUGGAC
Long non-coding RNA from Epinephelus fuscoguttatus (brown-marbled grouper), 202 nucleotides. RefSeq lists it as uncharacterized. The transcript is spliced from 3 exons. Lineage: Eukaryota; Metazoa; Chordata; Actinopteri; Perciformes; Serranidae. The record is from RefSeq and is a predicted model, not a curated record.